This 1118-nucleotide ribosomal RNA is filed under the name Phormidesmis priestleyi ULC147. RNAcentral's name for it is "bacterial SSU rRNA". It matches the Rfam family "Bacterial small subunit ribosomal RNA", at positions 401 to 1533 of the family's 1533-position model. Lineage: Bacteria; Bacillati; Cyanobacteriota; Cyanophyceae; Leptolyngbyales; Leptolyngbyaceae. The record is from RNAcentral.
UGGAGGGAGGAGGCUCUUGGGUCGUAAACCUCUUUUAUCAGGGAAGAACACAAUGACGGUACCUGAUGAAUCAGCAUCGGCUAACUCCGUGCCAGCAGCCGCGGUAAUACGGAGGAUGCAAGCGUUAUCCGGAAUUAUUGGGCGUAAAGCGUCCGCAGGUGGUUGUGAAAGUUUGCUGUCAAAGCGCGAGGCUCAACUUCGUAACGGCGGUGAAAACUUCACGACUAGAGCUAGGUAGGGGUCACGGGAAUUCCCAGUGUAGCGGUGAAAUGCGUAGAUAUUGGGAAGAACACCAGCGGCGAAAGCGCGUGACUGGGCCUGAGCUGACACUCAUGGACGAAAGCUAGGGGAGCGAAAGGGAUUAGAUACCCCUGUAGUCCUAGCCGUAAACGAUGACAACUAGGUGUUGCCCGUAUCGACCCGGGCAGUGCCGUAGCCAACGCGUUAAGUUGUCCGCCUGGGGAGUACGCACGCAAGUGUGAAACUCAAAGGAAUUGACGGGGGCCCGCACAAGCGGUGGAGUAUGUGGUUUAAUUCGAUGCAACGCGAAGAACCUUACCAAGGCUUGACAUGUGCAGAAUCCUCUUGAAAGGGAGGAGUGCCUUCGGGAGCUGCAACACAGGUGGUGCAUGGCUGUCGUCAGCUCGUGUCGUGAGAUGUUGGGUUAAGUCCCGCAACGAGCGCAACCCUCGUUUCUAGUUGCCAUCAUUGAGUUGGGCACUUUAGAGAGACUGCCGGUGACAAACCGGAGGAAGGUGGGGAUGACGUCAAGUCAGCAUGCCCCUUACGCCUUGGGCUACACACGUACUACAAUGCUACGGACAAAGAGCCGCAAGUUCGCGAGGACAAGCAAAUCUCAUAAACCGUGGCUCAGUUCAGAUUGCAGGCUGCAACUCGCCUGCAUGAAGGCGGAAUCGCUAGUAAUCGCAGGUCAGCAUACUGCGGUGAAUACGUUCCCGGGCCUUGUACACACCGCCCGUCACACCAUGGGAGUUGGCCACGCCCGAAGUCGUUACUCCAACCGUUCGCGGAGGAGGAUGCCGAAGGCAGGGCUGAUGACUGGGGUGAAGUCGUAACAAGGUAGCCGUACCGGAAGGUGUGGCUGGAUCACCUCCUUU